This 400-nucleotide ribosomal RNA is filed under the name Candidatus Bathyarchaeota archaeon. RNAcentral's name for it is "bacterial SSU rRNA". It matches the Rfam family "Archaeal small subunit ribosomal RNA", at positions 279 to 681 of the family's 1478-position model. The record is from RNAcentral. Lineage: Archaea; Thermoproteati; Candidatus Bathyarchaeota.
AGAGCGGGAGCCCGGAGAUGGGCACUGAGACAAGGGCCCAGGCCCUACGGGGCGCAGCAGUCGCGAAAACUUUGCAAUACACGAAAGUGUGACAGGGCUAUCCCGAGUGCCAUCCGCUGAGGAAGGCUUUUACCCAGUCUAGAAAGCUGGGGGAAUAAGGAGAGGGCAAGUCUGGUGUCAGCCGCCGCGGUAAUACCAGCUCUCCGAGUGGUGUGGAUGUUUAUUGGGCCUAAAGCAUCCGUAGCUGGCUAAGUUAGUCCCUUGUUAAAUCCACCGAAUUAAUCGUUGGAUCGCGGGGGAUACUGCUUGGCUAGGGGACGAGAGAGGCAGACGGUAUUUUCGGGGUAGGGGUGAAAUCCUAUAAUCCCGGGAAGACCACCAGUGGCGAAGGCUGUCUGCU